GAACCGAGGUGGGUAGCAGUAGUAGCUGCUUCAGAGUUAGAGGUAGCCCAGAGUUAGCCAAGCAGUGGCUACAGGUGAGUGGAACUAAACUUGCUGUUUUAAAUUGAGAAAUGACACGUUUCUAGCAUGAUCCAUGCAUCAUCAAAUGCCAUGUUAUGAAUUAGGUUGUGUUGCAUUAGAAUCCACGAAUAUGAUGCAUUGCAUAAGAUGAUAUUUGUGUGGAUGAAUGUUGGAUGAUCCUUAGCCCUUGAUAUGUGCAGAG
This 262-nucleotide long non-coding RNA is filed under the name Manihot esculenta (cassava). Its description in RNAcentral is "long non-coding RNA (MESC_LNC008655)". Lineage: Eukaryota; Viridiplantae; Streptophyta; Magnoliopsida; Malpighiales; Euphorbiaceae. The record is from RNAcentral.